CUGAAAAACAUGCAUUAAUAAAAUCAUUGUAAAUUUCAUACAUGUGACUCACCUAAGACUUAUUACCGGUAUAUAAACAACAAUAUUUUAAAUCACUUAACAUCGGACUUAACCACGUAUCAAGUUAAGACUUCUCUUUUUGAUUAUGGCUAACACAUUCACGUGGAUCUUGGUGGUUGCCACUGUAGUCGUCUAUGCGCAUCCCCAGUUCGACGAUUUUUCUUUAGGCCUCGACGCAAACUGUUUGAAGAAAACACCUGAAGUAUACCGACCUUGCAGAAUGCGAACGAUUUGGACGUUCGACUGGUGCGCGCUUAGGUGUGUUCAGCGAACUGGAUGUUUCCCACCUGGUAACCUGGUCAACGCAUUUCCUUCGCAACAAGGUUGUUACAUGUAUUGCAGCAGACGAUACGAAUAGGUGUAUGUCGUGUAAUAAA
Molecule: long non-coding RNA, 437 nt
Organism: Dreissena polymorpha
Lineage: Eukaryota; Metazoa; Mollusca; Bivalvia; Myida; Dreissenidae
Exons: 3
Source: RefSeq, a predicted model, not a curated record